Molecule: small nucleolar RNA, 81 nt
Organism: Cynara cardunculus var. scolymus (artichoke)
Lineage: Eukaryota; Viridiplantae; Streptophyta; Magnoliopsida; Asterales; Asteraceae
Product: small nucleolar RNA Z199
Exons: 1
Source: RefSeq, a predicted model, not a curated record
CAUCAAAUGAUGAGAAAAUUAACUGCAACAAAAUGAUCGACGAUUUGGUCGUGAUUACUAGUAUUUAAGUCUCUGAUGAUG